AACAGACUCCUACGGGAGGCAGCAGUGAGGAAUAUUGGUCAAUGGGCGAGAGCCUGAACCAGCCAAGUCGCGUGAAGGAUGACGGCCCUACGGGUUGUAAACUUCUUUUGUCAGGGAGCAAUUGGGUCCACGCGUGGGCUUAGCGAGAGUACCUGAAGAAAAAGCAUCGGCUAACUCCGUGCCAGCAGCCGCGGUAAUACGGAGGAUGCGAGCGUUAUCCGGAUUUAUUGGGUUUAAAGGGUGCGUAGGCGGAAUGCCAAGUCAGCGGUAAAAUCGCGGGGCUCAACCUCGCUCCGCCGUUGAAACUGCGUUUCUUGAGUGGGCGAGAAGUACGCGGAAUGCGUGGUGUAGCGGUGAAAUGCAUAGAUAUCACGCAGAACUCCGAUUGCGAAGGCAGCGUACCGGCGCCCAACUGACGCUCAUGCACGAAAGCGUGGGUAUCGAACAGGAUUAGAUACCCUCGUAAG
This 467-nucleotide ribosomal RNA is filed under the name uncultured bacterium. Its description in RNAcentral is "bacterial SSU rRNA". It matches the Rfam family "Bacterial small subunit ribosomal RNA", at positions 330 to 794 of the family's 1533-position model. The record is from RNAcentral.